This 90-nucleotide small nucleolar RNA is filed under the name Sclerotinia borealis F-4128. Its description in RNAcentral is "Small nucleolar RNA R38". It matches the Rfam family "Small nucleolar RNA R38". Rfam says of the family: snoR38 is a C/D box small nucleolar RNA conserved across yeast, human, Arabidopsis and rice. It is encoded in the intron of elongation factor-1 gamma in both pombe and cerevisiae. snoR38 guides the methylation of 2'-O-ribose sites in 28S rRNA. The record is from Rfam by way of RNAcentral. Lineage: Eukaryota; Fungi; Ascomycota; Leotiomycetes; Helotiales; Sclerotiniaceae.
UUUGUGUAAUGAUGAAAAAAAAGUCAUACAGUUAUCCCUGUCUUAAUCAUUCUAUGUUGAUCUUUAUAUUAAUUAGACUCUGAACACUCU